This 607-nucleotide ribosomal RNA is filed under the name bacterium MS-AsV-04. RNAcentral's name for it is "bacterial SSU rRNA". It matches the Rfam family "Bacterial small subunit ribosomal RNA", at positions 255 to 857 of the family's 1533-position model. The record is from RNAcentral.
AGGUAACGGCUCACCAGGCGACGAUGCGUAGCCGACCUGAGAGGGUGAUCGGCCACACUGGGACUGAGACACGCCCAGACUCCUACGGGAGGCAGCAGUAGGGAAUCUUCCACAAUGGACGAAAGUCUGAUGGAGCAACGCCGCGUGAGUGAAGAAGGUUCUCGGAUCGUAAAACUCUGUUGUGAGGGAAGAACAAGUACCGGAGUAACUGCCGGUACCUUGACGGUACCUCAUUAGAAAGCCACGGCUAACUACGUGCCAGCAGCCGCGGUAAUACGUAGGUGGCAAGCGUUGUCCGGAAUCAUUGGGCGUAAAGCGCGCGCAGGCGGUCCCUUAAGUCUGAUGUGAAAGCCCACGGCUCAACCGUGGAGGGUCAUUGGAAACUGGGGGACUUGAGUGCAGAAGAGGAAAGCGGAAUUCCAAGUGUAGCGGUGAAAUGCGUAGAGAUUUGGAGGAACACCAGUGGCGAAGGCGGCUUUCUGGUCUGUAACUGACGCUGAGGCGCGAAAGCGUGGGGAGCAAACAGGAUUAGAUACCUGGUAGUCCACGCCGUAAACGAUGAGUGCUAAGUGUUAGGGGUUUCCGCCCCUUAGUGCUGCAGCUAACG